RNAcentral lists this ribosomal RNA (497 nucleotides) under uncultured bacterium. Its description in RNAcentral is "partial 16S ribosomal RNA". It matches the Rfam family "Bacterial small subunit ribosomal RNA", at positions 28 to 507 of the family's 1533-position model. The record is from RNAcentral.
GAUGAACGCUGGCGGCGUGCCUAAUACAUGCAAGUCGAGCGAACAGAUGAGGAGCUUGCUCCUCUGACGUUAGCGGCGGACGGGUAAGUAACACGUGGAUAACCUACCUAUAAGACUGGGAUAACUUCGGGAAACCGGAGCUAAUACCGGAUAAUAUAUUGAACCGCAUGGUUCAAUAGUGAAAGACGGUUUUGCUGUCACUUAUAGAUGGAUCCGCGCCGCAUUAGCUAGUUGGUAAGGUAACGGCUUACCAAGGCAACGAUGCGUAGCCGACCUGAGAGGGUGAUCGGCCACACUGGAACUGAGACACGGUCCAGACUCCUACGGGAGGCAGCAGUAGGGAAUCUUCCGCAAUGGGCGAAAGCCUGACGGAGCAACGCCGCGUGAGUGAUGAAGGUCUUCGGAUCGUAAAACUCUGUUAUUAGGGAAGAACAAAUGUGUAAGUAACUAUGCACGUCUUGACGGUACCUAAUCAGAAAGCCACGGCUAACUACGUG